This is a long non-coding RNA of Ctenopharyngodon idella (grass carp), 1424 nucleotides long. RefSeq lists it as uncharacterized. The record is from RefSeq and is a predicted model, not a curated record. The transcript is spliced from 2 exons. Lineage: Eukaryota; Metazoa; Chordata; Actinopteri; Cypriniformes; Xenocyprididae.
AAUACUGCAACAAAGGUUACAGGAAAUAAAUUUAGCUCAGAAAUAUAUUAAGAGCGAGAGGAGAGGAGAGUCUAGACACAGGAUGAUUUAAAGAUGCACCUGCACACCAGCUGCUGUGGUGUCCUCAAACUGGGUGAGAAGAACAAUAUUACUGGGAGAGUUUCCACCGAUAAACUGUGUGAAAUAUCUGAACUGCAGGCAGGCCAAUUCAGCACCCGGACUCUUCUACAACGAAGCCAUGCUGUUGUAAUUGCUGCAGUAUGUGGUUUUUUGCAUUGUUCUGCUGAAAUACACAAGGCCUUCCCUGAAAUAGACGUCAUCUGGAGGGGAGCAUAUGUUGCUCUAAAACCUUUCAGCAUUCAUAGAGCCUUCCAAAACAUGCAAGCUGCCCAUACCGUAUGCACUUAUGGACCCCCAUACCAUCAGAGAUGCUGGCUUUUGAACUGAACGCUGAUAACACGCUGGAAGGUUUUCCUCCUCUUUAGCCCGGAGGACACGGCGUCCGUGAUUUCCAACAAGAAUGUCAAAUUUGGACUCGUCUGCCAUAGAAUACUUUUCCACUUUGAAACAGUCCAUUUAAAAUGAGCCUUGGCCCACAGGACACGACAGCGCUUCUGCACCAUGUUUACAUAUGGCUUCCUUUUUGCAUGAUAGAGCUUUAGUUGGCAUCUGCAGAUGGCACGGCGGAUUGUGUUUACCGACAGUGGUUUCUGGAAGUAUUCCUGGGCCCAUUUAGUAAUGUCAUUGACGCAAUCAUGCCGAUGAGUGAUGCAGUGUCGUCUGAGGGCCCGAAGACCACGGGCAUCCAAUAAAGGUCUUCGGCCUUGUCCCUUACGCACAGAGAUUUCUCCAGUUUCUCUGAAUCUUUUGAUGAUGUUAUGCACUGUAGAUCAGUGUUUCUCAACCACAUUCCUGGAGGCCCACCAACACUGCACAUUUUGCAUGUCUCCUUAAUUAAACACACCUGAUUAGGGUUAUCAGCUCAUUAGUAGUGACUCAAAGAUCUAAAAUGGGUGUGUCAGACAAAGGAGACAUGCAAAAUGUGCAGUGUUGGUGGGCCUCCAGGAAUGUGGUUGAGAACCACUGCUGUAGAUGAUGAGAUUUGCAAACCUUUGCAAUUUGACGUUGAGGAACAUUGUUUUUAAAGUAUUCCACAAUCUUUUUACACGCUCUUUCACAGCUCAUCUUUACUUGUGAGAGACUCUGCCUCUCUAAGACAUCCCUUUUAUAGCUAAUCAUGUUACAGACCUGAUAUCAAUUAACUUAACAGCCAUUUGUUGCCCCCGUGCCAACUUUUUUGAGACCUGUAGCAGGCAUCAAAUUUGAAAUGAGCUCAUUUAGUGGAUAAAAGCGUAAAAUUUCUCAGUUUAAACAUUUGUUAUGUUAUCUAUGUUCUAUUGUGAAUAAAAUAUUGGCUCAUGUGA